UUAAGUUAGAAAGGGCGCACGGUGAAUGCCUUGGCACUAGGAGCCGAUGAAGGACGGGACUAACACCGAUAUGCUUCGGGGAGCUGUAAGUGAGCUUUGAUCCGGAGAUUUCCGAAUGGGGAAACCCACUGUUCGUAAUGGAACAGUAUCUUUAUCUGAAUACAUAGGAUAUUGAAGGCAGACCCGGGGAACUGAAACAUCUAAGUACCCGGAGGAAGAGAAAGCAAAUGCGAUUUCCUGAGUAGCGGCGAGCGAAACGGAAUUAGCCCAAACCAAGAGGCUUGCCUCUUGGGGUUGUAGGACACUCUAUACGGAGUUACAAAGGAACGAAGUAAAUGAAGCGACCUGGAAAGGUCCGUCAAAGAAGGUAACAACCCUGUAGUUGAAACUUCGUUCCCUCUUGAGUGGAUCCUGAGUACGGCGGAACACGUGAAAUUCCGUCGGAAGCUGGGAGGACCAUCUCCCAAGGCUAAAUACUACCUAGUGACCGAUAGUGAACCAGUACCGUGAGGGAAAGGUGAAAAGCACCCCGGAAGGGGAGUGAAAGAGAUCCUGAAACCGUGUGCCUACAAGUAGUCAGAGCCCGUUAACGGGUGAUGGCGUGCCUUUUGUAGAAUGAACCGGCGAGUUACGAUCCCAUGCAAGGUUAAGCUGAUAAGGCGGAGCCGUAGCGAAAGCGAGUCUGAAUAGGGCGUUUAGUAUGUGGUUGUAGACCCGAAACCAGGUGAUCUACCCAUGUCCAGGGUGAAGUUCAGGUAACACUGAAUGGAGGCCCGAACCCACGCACGUUGAAAAGUGCGGGGAUGAGGUGUGGGUAGCGGAGAAAUUCCAAUCGAACCUGGAGAUAGCUGGUUCUCUCCGAAAUAGCUUUAGGGCUAGCCUCAUGUUGUGAGAGUCUUGGAGGUAGAGCACUGAUUGGACUAGGGGCCCCCAACGGGUUACCGAAUUCAGUCAAACUCCGAAUGCCAAAGACUUAUCCAUGGGAGUCAGACUGCGAGUGAUAAGAUCCGUAGUCAAAAGGGAAACAGCCCAGACCACCAGCUAAGGUCCCCAAGUAUACGUUAAGUGGAAAAGGAUGUGGAGUUGCUUAGACAACCAGGAUGUUGGCUUAGAAGCAGCCACCAUUUAAAGAGUGCGUAAUAGCUCACUGGUCGAGUGACUCUGCGCCGAAAAUGUACCGGGGCUAAACGUAUCACCGAAGCUGUGGAUUGACAUCUUUGAUGUCAGUGGUAGGAGAGCGUUCUAAGUGCAGCGAAGUCAGACCGUAAGGACUGGUGGAGCGCUUAGAAGUGAGAAUGCCGGUAUGAGUAGCGAAAGACAAGUGAGAAUCUUGUCCACCGAAUGCCUAAGGUUUCCUGAGGAAGGCUCGUCCGCUCAGGGUUAGUCGGGACCUAAGCCGAGGCUGAAAAGCGUAGGCGAUGGCCAACAGGUUGAUAUUCCUGUACCACCUCCCCGCCGUUUGAGUAAUGGGGGGACGCAGUAGGAUAGGGUAAGCGCGCUGCUGGAUAUGCGCGUUCAAGCAGUUAGGCUGAUGAGUAGGCAAAUCCGCUCAUCAUAAAGGCUGAGCUGUGAUGACGAGGGAAUUAUAGUACCGAAGUUCCUGAUUCCACACUGCCAAGAAAAGCCUCUAGCGAGGCGGGAGGUGCCCGUACCGCAAACCGACACAGGUAGGCGAGGAGAGAAUCCUAAGGUGAUCGAGAGAACUCUCGUUAAGGAACUCGGCAAAAUGACCCCGUAACUUCGGGAGAAGGGGUGCUCUGGUAGGGUGUAUAGCCCGAGAGAGCCGCAGUGAAUAGGCCCAGGCGACUGUUUAGCAAAAACACAGGUCUCUGCGAAGCCGCAAGGCGAAGUAUAGGGGCUGACGCCUGCCCGGUGCUGGAAGGUUAAGAGGAGGGGUUAUCCUUUGGGAGAAGCUCUGAAUCGAAGCCCCAGUAAACGGCGGCCGUAACUAUAACGGUCCUAAGGUAGCGAAAUUCCUUGUCGGGUAAGUUCCGACCCGCACGAAAGGCGUAACGAUCUGGGCACUGUCUCAACGAGAGACUCGGUGAAAUUAUAGUACCUGUGAAGAUGCAGGUUACCCGCGACAGGACGGAAAGACCCCGUGGAGCUUUACUGUAGCCUGAUAUUGAAUUUUGGUACAGCUUGUACAGGAUAGGUAGGAGCCUGAGAAGCCGGAGCGCUAGCUUCGGUGGAGGCGUCGGUGGGAUACUACCCUGGCUGUAUUGAAAUUCUAACCCGCGGCCCUGAUCGGGCCGGGAGACAGUGUCAGGUGGGCAGUUUGACUGGGGCGGUCGCCUCCUAAAAUGUAACGGAGGCGCCCAAAGGUUCCCUCAGAAUGGUUGGAAAUCAUUCGUAGAGUGUAAAGGCACAAGGGAGCUUGACUGCGAGACCUACAAGUCGAGCAGGGACGAAAGUCGGGCUUAGUGAUCCGGUGGUUCCGCAUGGAAGGGCCAUCGCUCAACGGAUAAAAGCUACCCCGGGGAUAACAGGCUUAUCUCCCCCAAGAGUCCACAUCGACGGGGAGGUUUGGCACCUCGAUGUCGGCUCAUCGCAUCCUGGGGCUGUAGUCGGUCCCAAGGGUUGGGCUGUUCGCCCAUUAAAGCGGUACGCGAGCUGGGUUCAGAACGUCGUGAGACAGUUCGGUCCCUAUCCGUCGUGGGCGUAGGAAAUUUGAGAGGAGCUGUCCUUAGUACGAGAGGACCGGGAUGGACACACCGCUGGUGUACCAGUUGUCUUGCCAAAGGCAUCGCUGGGUAGCUAUGUGUGGACGGGAUAAGUGCUGAAAGCAUCUAAGCAUGAAGCCCCCCUCAAGAUGAGAUUUCCCAUAGCGCAAGCUAGUAAGAUCCCUGAAAGAUGAUCAGGUUGAUAGGUCAGAGGUGGAAGCGUGGCGACAUGUGUAGCUGACUGAUACUAAUCGAUCGAGGACUUAACCAA
RNAcentral lists this ribosomal RNA (2934 nucleotides) under Priestia megaterium NBRC 15308 = ATCC 14581. Its description in RNAcentral is "bacterial LSU rRNA". It matches the Rfam family "Bacterial large subunit ribosomal RNA". The record is from RNAcentral. Lineage: Bacteria; Bacillati; Bacillota; Bacilli; Caryophanales; Bacillaceae.